AAUGGCAGGGCUCCACCCAAGAGGAAGAAAACAAAGACAAUGCCACAAAGCUAGAGGAAGAACCCGGCCAGGGCACCUCUCUAGGUCAGGCAGACUUGGCACUUGAUUUGCUGGCUUACUAUUCCCUGGGCAUUGGCUCUAAAAGGCACAGAGGGCACUGCUCACUCUGGGCCUGGUGGCCCUGAAGACACCAGACUAUAUCUGAAACACACAAGGAUCCCCUUUCCUCUCAGACUUCAACCCACCUGCACUGCUAUGUGCGUUCCGUUGGCUGUGGCCAACAGCGCCACCUGUUGAUGAUGAAGGGAUGCUACACUUGAGUUCUCGGCCACCACAGCCCCAGAGGUAAUGAUUGUGACCUGAAACACAGAAGAUCUUCCACCCACCUGCAGUACCCUCCAUCUCCCCACUCCUAAUAACAACCACUCCACACAAGAUGGCUAGGAACAACCCAGAAAAAAAUGGACAAGACCAUGUAGAUCAUAUUAAUUAGUUUGAGGCUCUGAGAUGAACGAGGUUGUGUUUUUCUCCAAUUUAGAGCCCAGGAGAAUUCAGGAUUUCAAAUCGUAGGACAGAGUUAUAAAGGACCCCAGAGAGAAUUUAAUCCCUUCAGCUGAAAAUAGACCUUGAAGUCCAUGAAAAAGUGAUUGCCUACUUUUCAGCAAAGCAAAUUUAGAGUAAACUGAGAUUUAGAAACCAUCUCUUGACCCCAUUGUGUGUGUGUGAGUGUGCGCUGUACUGCGAAUUGAACCCAGGGGUACUUAAUACUGAGAUAUGCUCUCAGCACUUUUUUUAAAAGACAGGAUCUCACUAAAUUGUCCAGGCUGGCCUCAAACUUCUGGUCAUCUUGCCUAAGCCCCUUGAGUGGCUGGGAUUACAGGCCAUGAUACCCAACUCAAGUCAAAUGCUUUUAAAGGUUUGAGUUGCCCAGAGGAGCUGCGGGGAAGACCUUUGAUGGUGGGGAAUCUUUGUCCUUGAAAAGGCUUGGCUAGUUUGGCCUGUACUUUCAUGCCCACCCCAUGGAAAGGUUAACAAGAGAACAAGAAACCCUAAGCAAACCGCCUGGUCAUACGGGCUGCGUCUGGGUGCCAUCAGCGCUGACCAUGGUGACUGUAUGUGUGCCAGAUGUGGCCAGGUCAUCGUUGUGGCUGGGGAUGGUGAGGGUGGUGCUGCCGUGCUGGGUUACCACACUGAUGGCACUCCCCAGGGCCUGCAGGUCUUCUGGGGACAGGCUGACCUGCCAAUAGGAGGGGAGAAGAUGAGCUGGAACACCAGAAAAGGGGUGUCUGAAAACCCCUCAGGAGGGUGUCUGCUCUCCCAGAUAAGCAAGCAAAACAGGGCCAAGACAGCAGAGAGCUACGCUAAAAUUGACUAACCACUUCUGUGACCACCACUUUGCCUUCAAGCCCUGCUAUUGCAUCAGGGUCUUCACCAAAUUUCAUCCCUGACACCUCUAGAAGGCCUAGGUGUACUGGGCAGAGAGGGUGUGGACAAGGGCCAGGUUAUACUGCUGGCUGGUAACACUGGUGGGACUUCCAGGCUUCCGGAACCCUAUACCAACGUGCCUCUUGAUAAGGACAUUCAAAUGUCUCAGUUGGACACCUAUCAGCUUCCAAGAGGAAAGCUACUAUUUUCCAGAAGCUGAGACUAGGCUGGAAGCAAGAGGCUGGGCUACACGAUUUGGUCCCCUCAGCUUUAGCUCUCUGAAGUCCACAGAGCUAAAAUAGAAAUCUGCAUGGAAGUGGGGUUGUCAGAACUUCAGAGCUCCCCAGAGUUCCCGGAGAGAAUGAAGUGGUCAUUUUGGCCUGCCCCAGCCCUGUACCUGCUGGGCACCAUCCUGAGUGAUGAGAGCCACCUGGGGAGCCCCAUCCUCCUCAGUCACCAUGGCCACUUGAGCUGGGAUGUCAUCACCCUCUUCCUUCACUUCUGACAGGCGCCCUCCAUCCUAAACUGUGCUCUGGGAGGCUCCAAAAGCCCACACUGGUCUAUUCUAUGUUGCCUGGGCAGGGAAGAGGGCGUAGAAAAGCCCACUUUGUCCUCUCCUGUAGCAGCUGGAAGCAUUACAAAAAUGAUCACACUCUGGUCUUUUCAGGAGAUCCUAGAACUCUGGAAGUCAUAGUGAGGAGAAGACUAAAGGGAAACUGCCACAAAUACUCCAAAGCUCUGCGGUCCAGCCAGGGAAAGAUCACUCCAAUCUGGAAAAUUCACAGAUCUCAGAUCUCUGUGUUCCUGUCUUCCAACAGGCAGCACCACAGUUUCAGCAGAGGAUGCUCAGAAUGACUGGUAUUUGAAGGGAAAGAGCCUUUUUUUCCUCCUUUUUUCAGUAUUUGAGAUCAAGCCCAGGGCCUUGCUUAUGCUAGGCAAAUUCUCUGCCUCUGAGCUGUAUCUCCAGCCCUGAGCCAGGAGUCUAUUUUUCAACUGAGUUACUGUGUGGGCCUCAGGUUCCAAGAAUCCCACCUGCUCUGUUGCAUAUGCCCUGGUCAUUGCCCUGCCAUGCUUAUUUUCCCAAUGACUAAAUAGUUGCAGAGAAGAAAUAAAUACAAGAGUAUCUGACUUCAGUGGAUAAAACAAAAACAAAAAACUAAUAAAAGACACUGGCAGGGGCUUUCCUAAAAAGUACAGAGGACUAUUACAGCAGCCAAAGAGAAGCUGGGCCUAACUUCCCAUCACACAAUGCUACUUUUUUUUUUUACAGCAGCCUUCUCUCUUCAGAGACAGGCAUAAAUGUAAUCAACCGUAGCAGACCCAGCCCAUGCCCUGGACAGGGACAUGUGAGAUGAUCUGGGGUAACUUGGGUAGAGGGGCAAAGACAGUAUUGCCCAGGUCAUGUUCAAGCACAGGGCUGCUCCUGUCCUCUGGAGAGGUGAAGUUCUGGUAGGGCCAAGAGGUAGUGGACAGGUGAAGCCCCACGGUUGUGAGUGAGGGACAGUGUCAGGAUCUGCGUGCUCACCUUGCUUGCAUACUGCUCCAGGGCUACCACUGUGUCUGCGCUAAAGCCCUCAUCAUCUUCUGCUGCCAGAUCUUCUAAGCCCACCUCUGUCUGCACGGCCAGGAUGGUGCUGUCUGAUGGCACAGCCACAGGAUGGUGAAUGUAGGCAGUGGAGCCAUCUUCCAGCUGCACAGCUUCCAGGGCACUGGGAUCAUAGCCCUCUGCAAGGAACACACGAUUAGCCCCGAAGCCACACAAGAGGAGAAGACAGAGCUGGGAACCUGGCUUUAACUUAAUGAAAGGGGAGAAACUUCCUUUAUUAUUCCGCCCAAGCCCGGCAAAGUGGGGAUUUCCAGCCUAACAGAAACUGCUGAGAUUGAACUAAAUGGAGAACAAAGGAAACCCAGGAGGGACCCAAAUGUGGACACAACAUCUUUGUUUGUAUGUGGUGCUGAGGAUCG
Non-coding RNA from Marmota flaviventris (yellow-bellied marmot), 3390 nucleotides. The record is from RefSeq and is a predicted model, not a curated record. NCBI's taxonomy places the organism in Eukaryota, Metazoa, Chordata, Mammalia, Rodentia, Sciuridae.